RNAcentral lists this ribosomal RNA (1281 nucleotides) under metagenome. RNAcentral's name for it is "bacterial SSU rRNA". It matches the Rfam family "Bacterial small subunit ribosomal RNA", at positions 242 to 1520 of the family's 1533-position model. The record is from RNAcentral.
UAGCUAGUUGGUGAGGUAAUGGCUCACCAAGGCGACGAUCAGUAGCGGGUCUGAGAGGAUGAUCCGCCACACUGGAACUGAGACACGGUCCAGACUCCUACGGGAGGCAGCAGUGGGGAAUUUUGGACAAUGGGGGAAACCCUGAUCCAGCCAUUCCGCGUGAGUGAAGAAGGCCUUCGGGUUGUAAAGCUCUUUCAGCUGGAACGAAACGGUACGCUCUAACAUAGCGUGCUAAUGACGGUACCAGCAGAAGAAGCACCGGCUAACUACGUGCCAGCAGCCGCGGUAAUACGUAGGGUGCGAGCGUUAAUCGGAAUUACUGGGCGUAAAGCGUGCGCAGGCGGAUUGUUAAGCAAGAUGUGAAAUCCCCGGGCUUAACCUGGGAAUGGCAUUUUGAACUGGCAGUCUAGAGUGUGUCAGAGGGGGGUGGAAUUCCACGUGUAGCAGUGAAAUGCGUAGAUAUGUGGAGGAGCACCAAUGGCGAAGGCAGCCCCCUGGGAUAACACUGACGCUCAUGUACGAAAGCGUGGGUAGCAAACAGGAUUAGAUACCCUGGUAGUCCACGCCCUAAACGAUGUCAACUGGUUGUUGGGGGAGUGAAAUCCCUUAGUAACGAAGCUAACGCGUGAAGUUGACCGCCUGGGGAGUACGGUCGCAAGAUUAAAACUCAAAGGAAUUGACGGGGACCCGCACAAGCGGUGGAUGAUGUGGAUUAAUUCGAUGCAACGCGAAAAACCUUACCUACCCUUGACAUGUCCAGAAUCCUGCAGAGAUGCGGGAGUGCCCGAAAGGGAAUUGGAACACAGGUGCUGCAUGGCUGUCGUCAGCUCGUGUCGUGAGAUGUUGGGUUAAGUCCCGCAACGAGCGCAACCCUUAUCAUUAGUUGCUACGCAAGGGCACUCUAAUGAGACUGCCGGUGACAAACCGGAGGAAGGUGGGGAUGACGUCAAGUCCUCAUGGCCCUUAUGGGUAGGGCUUCACACGUCAUACAAUGGUCGGUACAGAGGGUUGCCAAGCCGCGAGGUGGAGCCAAUCCCAGAAAGCCGAUCGUAGUCCGGAUUGUUCUCUGCAACUCGAGAGCAUGAAGUCGGAAUCACUAGUAAUCGCGGAUCAGAAUGUCGCGGUGAAUACGUUCCCGGGUCUUGUACACACCGCCCGUCACACCAUGGGAGUGGAAUCUGCCAGAAGUAGGUAGCCUAACCGCAAGGAGGGCGCUUACCACGGUGGGUUUCAUGACUGGGGUGAAGUCGUAACAAGGUAGCCGUAGGGAACCUGCGGCUG